This 453-nucleotide ribosomal RNA is filed under the name Starmerella sp. ST12.14/027. RNAcentral describes it as "eukaryotic LSU rRNA". It matches the Rfam family "Eukaryotic large subunit ribosomal RNA", at positions 58 to 495 of the family's 3401-position model. Lineage: Eukaryota; Fungi; Ascomycota; Dipodascomycetes; Dipodascales; Trichomonascaceae. The record is from RNAcentral.
AAAGAAACCAACAGGGAUUGCCUUAGUAGCGGCGAGUGAACCGGCAAAAGCUCAGAUUUGAAAGCCUUUCGGGGCAUUGUAUUCUGAAGCCUUGGUCCUGGGAACCGAUGUCCAAGUCUUCUGGAAAGGAGCGCCAUGGAGGGUGAUAGCCCCGUACGACAUUGACCCCAUUGUAGGACUUUGGCAUGGAGUCGAGUUGUUUGGGAAUGCAGCUCAAAUGGGUGGUAUGCUCCAUCUAAAGCUAAAUAUCUGCGAGAGACCGAUAGCGAACAAGUACUGUGAAGGAAAGAUGAAAAGAACUUUGAAAAGAGAGUGAAAUAGUAUGUGAAAUUGUUGAAAUGGAAGGGUAGGCCGCUAACCAUGCAGGGUCGUGUCUGGGGGAAGGAUAAAAGCUGAAGAACGUAGCUCCUCGGAGUGUUAUAGCUUCAGUCCAUACUUCCAUCCGGCGCGAGG